This 342-nucleotide long non-coding RNA is filed under the name Gallus gallus (chicken). RNAcentral's name for it is "lncRNA (ENSGALG00010022349.1)". Lineage: Eukaryota; Metazoa; Chordata; Aves; Galliformes; Phasianidae. The record is from RNAcentral.
CUGGGAUUCGGUUUCUAGGAAAUGUUGCAAGUUUCCAGGCAAAAAGGAUUGGCUUCUGCUCUCCGAGCACAGGGCCUGCCUGCAGAGAUGCUGAGCAAGAAGCUUUCAUCUGUGCAAAAUCAAGGGCUCAUUGACAAAAGGGUGCAUUCCUCCCACAGAACCAUCUCUUCUGUCUAAGCAACCACACAGCCACCUAUGGAAAAGGGAACGGAGGCCAAAUAGUAAAUCUGACAAAUGUCCACUAUGUACUAGAUUUUCUGGGCAAGGCUUUAAAACAAAGCAUUUUUGUUCUCCAUACCCCCAGCUCCCAGCACAUGACCAGGGCUGUAAAUUACUGUAGAG